RNAcentral lists this ribosomal RNA (253 nucleotides) under uncultured bacterium. Its description in RNAcentral is "partial 16S ribosomal RNA". It matches the Rfam family "Bacterial small subunit ribosomal RNA", at positions 524 to 776 of the family's 1533-position model. The record is from RNAcentral.
UACAGAGGUCCCAAGCGUUGUUCGGAUUCAUUGGGCGUAAAGGGUGCGUAGGCGGCGCGGUAAGUCGGGUGUGAAAUCUCGGGGCUUAACUCCGAAACUGCAUUUGAUACUGCGGUGCUUGAGGACUGGAGAGGAGACUGGAAUUCACGGUGUAGCAGUGAAAUGCGUAGAUAUCGUGAGGAAGACCAGUGGCGAAGGCGGGUCUCUGGACAGUUCCUGACACUGAGGCACGAAGGCCAGGGGAGCAAACGGG